CAGCCCUCCUUCUUAAUGACAUUUACUUGAAUAAUAUUACACAAAAAUAAGUUUUAAAUGCUAACAACCUAAACUUCUUGUUGCUUGAAUGCUGUUGGCUUAAACCUGAAGGACCAACUUGCAAUUAUCAAAAGUUGUGUGACCGUUCUUAUCCAUAAACACGUGUUCAUGAGAUGUGUCCUAAGCCUGAUACAUGUCUAGAGCACAUGUGUAGCCGGCAUGAAAGUGUUCUUCCUCAGGACAUUAUGCCACUAUGGGUGACACAUGUCACAUAUGGAGUGACCUGUGUCACUUCAAAUGUGACACAUGUCAUUUCCAUGUUAGGACACAUGUUGCUACACAUGAACAUAUGUCACUUCUAUGUCAACCUAGUGCUAAUUAAUAUCCUUCAAGUUACCCAAUAAAAAUCCAUGAGUUUGGAGUAGUUGGUAAGCGGGUUGCUCAUACCAACGGGAGGUCACAAGUUCGACUCUUGCAUAUGGCACCUUGAAAAACUCUGGGCCAAACCUUCACCUCCGAGUAAGAGUCAGACUCUGCGAACGCUUCUUAGGCCGAAUCCGGAUUAGUCUCACUGAAGAUGGGGAUACCGAAUACUCAAAGUAACCUAGGAUAAGAAAAUUCAAAAUAAGUGUCCACCGCAUUCAUGUAGUAAUAAUAUUACAUUCAUAUAGUUAUUAUAUGAUAGCCUUCUUGUUACAUUUUAAACAUAUAGUUACAGAUUUGCAUACAUAGCAGUAAAUAUGUUAACCUGAUGCUAAAAUUAGAUAAGGUGAAAUUAAUGAUGGUUGCUUUCGAGUGUAUAAAAACUACUAUGAUGCAUGUUUUUGUCUCGUUCGAAUGAUAAUUUUUUGUAUAAGAUGAACAUACUUUCUAUAUUGCUAUCUUAUAGACGUGAUUAUUUAUUUAUCAAGUAUACUAUUGUUCAAUGAAUUCGAGUGUGUACUUUAUUGCACCAAAAAUUUUAUUUGCUUGUCUAGCUUGCUAUUAUCCUCGCGAAUCCUGGUGUGUACUUUAGUACAUCAGAAAGUGAUUGAUUAACUCAACUCGCAAGUACAAUGAACCAUUUGCCGAUUGCGUACUUUAUCAUAACGAAAAAUGCUUACGACUUGUUUUGACAAAGAAUUGUAUUAUGAUUGCAUUUUUUCAAUUCAUAAUAUAUGCCUUGAAGGCAUACAUCAUUAUGCAGUGAAAAUUAUGCUUUACUUGAAGCCAUUAGAUUAUAUACAUCUUUAAUGCACUCAACUACCAUUGCUAUGCCCGGACAAUUUUUUCAUGUCUAUCCUGAAUACUUCAAUCCUAAAAGUGUUUGUAUUUUGCUAUGAGCUUGACAGUCUAAUGAGAUCCAUGUGUGCAAGUGCGAUUAAAUUUUUGAGAAUAUAUAUUCAAACAUAUAGGAAACACAUAAAAUAGAUAAAUCACAAGACAAUAGAAGGAUAAAGCACUGAUUAUCGGUGACGACCUGGUUCCACCUUAUACCACCAUCAUAAGCUCAACCUUCUAUUUUAACAAUCACUUAGGUCAAUUUCGGAAUUGCCAUUCACUCUCGACCUAAUAAGUGGAUAACCUCUUGCCCAAGUAGUGGGUUACGAACUAGUGUGUGAAAUGACAUUCGAUAUAGCCCUUUACUUGUUUGGCAGAUCACGGUACACUACUGACAUAGCUUUAGUACUAAUGCGAUAAAGUACACAACUGAUAUGGUCAAACACAAACAAUCAUGAUGCAAUUCUUUGACAAAAUAAUUCAUGAGCACUUUUGGGUGUGAUAAAAUAUACAAUCGGCAAAUGGUUCAUUGUAUUUGCAGCCAAUUUAACCAAUCACUUUCCAAUGUGAUAAAGUACACAUCCAGAUUCAUGAGGAUAAUAGCAAGCUAGACAAGCAAAUAAAAUUUUUGGUGCAAUAAAGUACACGCUCAAAUUCAUAAAACAAUAGCAUACUUGACAAAUAAUAAUCACAUUUGUAACAUAACAAUAUAGAAAGUAUCACCUUAAACAAGAAAUUAUCAUUCAAACAAAACAAAAGCAUGCAUCAUAGUAGUUUUAUACACUCAAAAGUAGCCGUUAUUAAUUUCACUUUGUCUGACUUUAGCAUCAGGUUAACAUAACUACUGCUAUGUAUGCAAAUCUGUAACUAUAUGUUUAAUAUGUAACAAGAAAGCUAUGAUAUAAUAACUAUAUGAAUGCAAUGAACGCUCACCCAAAUUUUCUUAUCCUAGGUUAGCUAGUCACUGUCUCGACACCAUCCUAUUGUCAUUCUUCUUUUUAUACUCUCUUGCUUUGCUUUUUCACUUUUUCACUCGCUCACCUCAUAAUCUACUAUAAUUUUAUAUGGGUGGC
This 2333-nucleotide long non-coding RNA is filed under the name Coffea arabica (coffee). RNAcentral describes it as "long non-coding RNA (CARA_LNC007874)". The record is from RNAcentral. Lineage: Eukaryota; Viridiplantae; Streptophyta; Magnoliopsida; Gentianales; Rubiaceae.